GGGGGCGACAGGUCUCGACGGGAACGACCGAGGCCCAGGCUGCGCCUCGAGGUUUCUCUCCCUCGUUAAACAGAGAGAACGGUAUAGCUGCCGACACUCAGCUAGCCCUGGCGGCCUAAUCACCCGCCAGCGCCCGCCGGAUCGGGCCGACGGGGUCCGGGCACGGGCGUCAUACUCCGGCGGCUGGCUCCGAACCCUGCCUCAGGGGAGGAGCGAGACUGACGAGGCUGGUCUCGCGGUCGUCCUGCCCGUUGGAGGGCCGCGAGGCGAGAGCGCCGUAAGAUAAACGGGCUAUCGGCGUAGACGCCUGCGGCUGAGGGUUUCCGGACGUGGGUUCGAUUCCCACCGCCUCCACCA
Molecule: transfer-messenger RNA, 357 nt
Filed under: Candidatus Rokuibacteriota bacterium
Lineage: Bacteria; Candidatus Rokuibacteriota
Also listed under: 1 other name
Description: Candidatus Rokubacteria bacterium (sediment metagenome) transfer-messenger RNA
Rfam family: transfer-messenger RNA
About the family: Bacterial tmRNA, also known as 10Sa RNA or SsrA, is named for its dual tRNA and mRNA-like properties.
Source: RNAcentral